ACAGUGGUAGCGGAGUACGCUGACGCCUCCGGCCGGCGUUGCCGCCGCCUGAGAGUCGCCACGGCCCCCGCCCAGGUCGAAGCGGUAGAUGAAGCCAUCCAGGGCCACCAUGGCCGCGGAACGCUCCCUACUGCUGCUGCACGGGCACUCCUGCCACUCGUCGCGCCGCGGGUCGUACUUGAGCAGGCGGUAGAAGAGAGAGCCCCCGGACACGUAGAUCUCGCCGUUGCAGGUGGUGGCUUCGUGCGCUACAGCGAAGGCACCCCGAGGCAGCGGGGCCACGGCGGCCCAGCGGUCGGAGCGCGGGUCGUAGCGCUCCACGCUGAGCAGGCACUCGCCGCCGACGGCGUACAGGUGGCCGUCCAGGGCCAGCAGCUGCAGCUGCGAGCGCGCCUGGCGCAGCGGCCGCACGGUGCUCCAGCGGUCGGUGGCCGGGUUGUAGCAGAAGACCUGGUCCGAGGGGCGCGCGCGGCCGUCGGGACCCGCAGGCCCCACGCCGCCGGCCACGAAGAGGUAGUUGUAGAGCACGCACAGCCCGCAGCCCCGCGCCGGCGCGCCCUCCGGCAGCCGCGUCAGCUCGCGCCACUCGCCGGCCGCCUCGUGCAGGCAGUAGACGGCGGCGUCGCCCCGGCCCUCCGCGUCCCCCGACGGGCUCUGCGGGCGGCUGCCCGCGCGCUCCCCGNNNNNNNNNNNNNNNNNNNNNNNNNNNNNNNNNNNNNNNNNNNNNNNNNNNNNNNNNNNNNNNNNNNNCACGGCAUCGGUGGCGCGCUGCAGCGCACGGCAGCUGCAGGCGGCGCGCGCCGGCCACCACCUCGGCCACGUUGUCGGGUCGCACGCCCGCCAUGCGCCCGCUGUACGCGUAGGCCAGCAGCAGCCGCAGCGCCGCCCAGCCCACGCCCUGCACCCGCAGCACGUCCCGGGACGCGCGCGCGCGGAAGUAGUCGCUGCGAGCCGCCAGCACCGCCUUGUGCGCCCGCAGCCGGCGGCCCGACACCUCGAUCACCAGGUCGGGCUCCCCGUGCGCGGGCCCGACGCCAGGGGGCACUGGAGCGGGAUCCCCGGGCUCCUCGGGGGAUAGGGGCUCCUCGGGAGACACGAGCUCUUCCAGGGACGUGGGCUCCUCGAUGGACACGGGCUCCUCGGGGGACACGAGCUCUUCCAGGGACGUGGGCUCCUCGGUGGACACAGGCUCCCCGGGCGACACGGGCUCUUCCGGGGACGCGCGCUGCGCUGGGUCGCCGGGCUCCUCGGCGGACGCGGGCUCUUUCGGGGACACAGAAUCCUCGGGGGACGCGCGCUGCUCGGGAUCCCCGGGCUCCUCGGGGGACGCGGUGCCCACGCUGCCGACCUCCCACUGCCGCUCCACCACCAGCGGGCCGCUGCGACGCGAGGGCGGGGAGGACGCUGCGCCCUCCGCGGCGGAGGCGCGAGACUGCGGCGGGGAGUCGUCCCCGGAGCUGA
RNAcentral lists this long non-coding RNA (1461 nucleotides) under Ailuropoda melanoleuca (giant panda). RNAcentral's name for it is "lncRNA (ENSAMEG00000029103.1)". Lineage: Eukaryota; Metazoa; Chordata; Mammalia; Carnivora; Ursidae. The record is from RNAcentral.